UACGUAGGGGGGCAAGCGUUGUCCGGAUUCACUGGGCGUAAAGGGUGCGCAGGCGGUCGUGUGUGUCAGGUGUGAAAUCCCGGAGCUUAACUCCGGAACUGCGCCUGAAACUACACGACUAGAGCAUUGGAGAGGGAAGUGGAAUUCAUGGUGUAGCAGUGAAAUGCGUAGAUAUCGAGAGGAACACCUGCGGCGAAGGCGGGUUGCUGGGCUGAUACUGACGCUGAGGCGCGAAAGCCAGGGGAGCGAACGGG
This 254-nucleotide ribosomal RNA is filed under the name uncultured bacterium. RNAcentral's name for it is "partial 16S ribosomal RNA". It matches the Rfam family "Bacterial small subunit ribosomal RNA", at positions 524 to 776 of the family's 1533-position model. The record is from RNAcentral.